This 476-nucleotide ribosomal RNA is filed under the name uncultured bacterium. Its description in RNAcentral is "bacterial SSU rRNA". It matches the Rfam family "Bacterial small subunit ribosomal RNA", at positions 28 to 507 of the family's 1533-position model. The record is from RNAcentral.
GACGAACGCUGGCGGCGUGCCUAACACAUGCAAGUCGAGCGGGGUUGAAGCGAGGGGUAACUCGAGUUUCUACCUAGCGGCGGACGGGUGAGUAACGCGUGGGCAACCUGCCUCAAGGACUGGGAUAACAGCUCGAAAGGGCUGCUAAUACCGGAUAAGCCUAUGGCCUCGCAUGGGGCCAUGAGCAAAGGGGAAACCCGCCUUGAGAUGGGCCCGCGUCCCAUCAGCUAGUUGGUGAGGUGAAGGCUCACCAAGGCGACGACGGGUAGCCGGCCUGAGAGGGUGACCGGCCACACUGGGACUGAGACACGGCCCAGACUCCUACGGGGGGCAGCAGUGGGGAAUCUUGCACAAUGGGCGAAAGCCUGAUGCAGCGACGCCGCGUGAGCGAAGAAGGCCUUCGGUUGUAAAGCUCUGUCUGGAGGGACGAAGGAAGUGACGGUACCUCCCGGAGGAAGCCACGGCUAACGUACGUG